CCUACGGGCGGCUGCAGUGAGGAAUAUUGGUCAAUGGACGAGAGUCUGAACCAGUCAAGUAGCGUGAAGGAUGACUGCCCUAUGGGUUGUAAACUUCUUUUAUAUGGGAAUAAAACGUUCCACGUGUGGGAUUUUGUAUGUACCAUAUGAAUAAGGAUCGGCUAACUCCGUGCCAGCAGCCGCGGUAAUACGGAGGAUCCGAGCGUUAUCCGGAUUUAUUGGGUUUAAAGGGAGCGUAGGUGGAUUGUUAAGUCAGUUGUGAAAGUUUGCGGCUCAACCGUAAAAUUGCAGUUGAAACUGGCAGUCUUGAGUACAGUAGAGGUGGGCGGAAUUCGUGGUGUAGCGGUGAAAUGCUUAGAUAUCACGAAGAACUCCGAUUGCGAAGGCAGUUCACUGGACUGCAACUGACACUGAGGCUCGAAAGUGUGGGUAUCAAACAGGAUUAGAUACCCUGUAGUC
This 459-nucleotide ribosomal RNA is filed under the name uncultured bacterium. RNAcentral's name for it is "partial 16S ribosomal RNA". It matches the Rfam family "Bacterial small subunit ribosomal RNA", at positions 338 to 795 of the family's 1533-position model. The record is from RNAcentral.